Molecule: long non-coding RNA, 2117 nt
Organism: Nerophis ophidion (straightnose pipefish)
Lineage: Eukaryota; Metazoa; Chordata; Actinopteri; Syngnathiformes; Syngnathidae
Exons: 3
Source: RefSeq, a predicted model, not a curated record
CAACCGAGUACUUGACGCAUUCUAAUUGUUAGCACACGAACGUUAGCAUUAAGGUUCAGCUUGCGCAUUUCAGUGGCUUUGGCAUUUAAGUAUCCCCACGCAAUUUCUCCCAAAAUUGCAUUAUAAAAUGUUUUUGUGUCGUGUUUUUUAUUUUGUCUUCAGAAUAUGUUGCAGGUGUCACACAUGGACUUGGACUUGUUUUGCUUCUUGUACGCAAAGGAUGAUUUCCACGAGCCAGACGUAAAUGUGACAAAGAUGGCUGAUAGGUGACAGUAGUGGCUGCUUGUUCCAGCUGUGAGAGAAGAUCUUGUCCUCCAUCAGGAACAGCGUGGCUACGUUUCCAAGUCGUGUUGCCGCACCGGGAUCGAACCGCUGACCUUUUUGGCUCACAGCCCUGAGUAAGACUGUCACAUUGUGUUAAUGUGACGCCCAAACAAGACAUCUUAUCCCUCUUUUGGAGACGCUUCUGCCCUUUUUUGUAUCGUUCUCAGGCAGGGCUGUGCAAAGCUUCUCCAGCGAGUGAGUACUGCACACAGGAAAGUUGAAGGAUGCUUUUCGAGACUGGAUUAUUUUUGCUUUGUACGUCAAUGUUGUAGAUUUGCUUGCUUUGCGCCCGUUUUUCAUUUGUGCACUUUUUUGUUUUUGAGGUACCUGCAUUUCCCUAUUUUCGAGAGCUUCUAUUCUACACCUGCCUGCCAUCACAGCACCAAAAUGCAUCGAAAACAAUACAAUGUAGAAUAAUCAUAGUUUAGUAUUCAUAGUACCGUAUUUCCUUGAAUUAGUGCCGGGGCGGUAAUUAUUUUAAAACCUCUUCUCACUCCGGCGUUUACCAAAAGGCAUGUGGUAAAUUUAGGCCUGCGCUUAUACAUUUGAGUGUGAUGUAAGGAUACCAUCAUGAAAAGCACAUUUGAUAAAAAACAAAAACAUUAUGUAGCAUAAAAACAGCAGAUGGCCUUAAAACGCCACAACACUCAGUCACCGUAUGUAAGUACCCAAAAUAAAGACUCGACAUAAAUAUAAAUAUAAUCGGAGCAGAAACAUCGGAGGAAACGGGAUUAAAACCCGAUGCUAACCGCCCAUAGAAAAUACAUGGGUACGGCUAGUAGCUACUAUUAGCAAACAAAUUCACUUACCCAUCCAUCCAUCCAUUUUCUACCACUUAUUCCCUUUUGGGGUUGCGGGGGGCGCUGGCGCCUAUCUCAGCUACAAUCGGGCGGAAGGCGGGGUACACCCUGGACAAGUUCCCUACUCAUCGCAGGGCCAACACAGAUAGACAGACAACAUUCACACACUAGGGACCAUUUAGUGUUGCCAAUCAACCUAUCCCCAGGUGCAUGUUUUUGGAAGUGGGAGGAAGCCGGAGUACCCGGAGGGAACCCACGCAUUCACGGGGAGAACAUGCAAACUCCACACAGAAAGAUCCCGAGCCUGGAUUUGAACCCAGGACUGCUGGAACUUCGUAUUGUGAGGCAGACGCACUAACCCCUCUGCCACCGUGAAGCCCCAAAUUCACUUACCCACUCGGCUUAAUAUCUUAACAUCGCCACACUCUCUCGUCGCAACUCAGCCCUGAUGGUCGGCACCUAUAAGUUUACAAUUAGUUGUAAAAUGUUGGACGUUUUUUUUUACGAUACGCAGGCAAACGACAACUUUAAAACAUACCGGUGUCAGAUGUCCCCAGACUUAGCCACCGCACCUGGCAGCCAUCUUGGAACGCUGGAUUAUAUACAGCGUGAUAGGCUCCAGCGGGUCCUGUGAGCGCCUGUGUUAAACUCGCGAGAUUAAACGUGGAAACGGCGCAGGUAAUAUGAGGAGAUGCCAUGAGAGGAAAUAUGGCUUAUUUCCCACCUGUGUUACACACUCGUGACGUGACGAGUUUGACCCGGUGGUAAAACGAGGCUUGCGCUAAUUAUUUUGCUAAACAAGUUUGACCCGGCAGUAAUUCCAAGCAUGCGCUAAUUCCAAGCAUGCGCUAAUUAUUUUGCAAAACGAGUUUGACCCGGCGGUAAAACGAGGCAUGCGGAUAAUAUAUACCCGGCGGCAAUUCAAGGAAAUACGGUAUUCUAAUUAUUAUUCCGAUUUGUUUUACCUAUCAAUCAAUCAAUGUUUUUACUUAU